Long non-coding RNA from Peromyscus eremicus (cactus mouse), 482 nucleotides. RefSeq lists it as uncharacterized. The transcript has 2 exons. The record is from RefSeq and is a predicted model, not a curated record. Lineage: Eukaryota; Metazoa; Chordata; Mammalia; Rodentia; Cricetidae.
AGAGAGUGAUGGGGGGUCUAGAAGGGCACACAUCAGGAUUGGCUUCUUAGGAACCUGUGGGGAGAGGCCAAGGAAGCCUAGGCUUCUCCCCACAGCACUAGGACGAAGGAGCAGAGAAACAGGCAUGUGGGUGGCCUUUGUUGUUUGUCCCUGAGCUCAGAUGGUGGUUUCUUCCAGUCAUGUGCACUGGGAAUACAAAUGAGCUCCUUUGAACAAAGCUGAUCCUGUUUCCUCAGACUGAAAGCCUCUGUGUCCUCAUCUGAAUGGAUCUCAGCUGAACUGCUGCUCAAAACCUGAAAGCUUAACCAGCUCUAGUUCCUGGUCCUCACACCUUAUAUACCUUUCUGCUUCCUGCCAUCACUUCCUGGGAUUAAAGGCGUGUGUCACCAUGCCUGGCUGUUUCCAAUGUGGCUUUGAAUUCACGGAGAUUCAGAUGGAUCUCUGCCUCCAGAAUACUAGGAUUAAAGGUGUGUGUUCCACCA